UACGUAGGAUGCAAGCGUUAUCCGGAAUUAUUGGGCGUAAAGAGUGUGUAGGUGGUUUGUUAAGUUAAAUGUUAAAUCUUCAGGCUCAACUUGAAGGCUGCAUUUAAUACUGGCAGACUCGAGGUAUGGAGAGGUAAGCGGAAUUAGUAGUGUAGCGGUGAAAUGCGUAGAUAUUACUAAGAACACCAAUGGCGAAGGCAGCUUACUGGCCAUAUUCUGACGCUGAGACACGAAAGCGUGGGGAGCGAACAGG
Molecule: ribosomal RNA, 253 nt
Filed under: uncultured bacterium
Lineage: Bacteria
Description: partial 16S ribosomal RNA
Rfam family: Bacterial small subunit ribosomal RNA
Source: RNAcentral